Molecule: unclassified non-coding RNA, 202 nt
Filed under: Hevea brasiliensis (rubber tree)
Lineage: Eukaryota; Viridiplantae; Streptophyta; Magnoliopsida; Malpighiales; Euphorbiaceae
Source: RNAcentral
AAGACAUCGUGAAAGAGUUUAUAAAACUGCAGGGGAUGCAAAGACAACAGCAAAAACAGUUGAUGUUGCAUGAAUGCGAGAAAAUGGACGAAGGUGAUGAUAGCGAUAACACUGAGGAUGAUGAAGAUGGUGUCGAAGUCGUUGGUGGCAAUGAAGAGGAUGACGACGACGACGAUGGUGAUGAAUAUGAUGAACGGCCGCA